This 23-nucleotide non-coding RNA is filed under the name Cricetulus griseus (Chinese hamster). Lineage: Eukaryota; Metazoa; Chordata; Mammalia; Rodentia; Cricetidae. The record is from RNAcentral.
CAAGUGAGUUAGGAGAGAGCACU